UACAGAGGUCUCAAGCGUUGUUCGGAUUCAUUGGGCGUAAAGGGUGCGUAGGUGGUGCUGUAAGUCAGGUGUGAAAUCCCGGGGCUCAACCCCGGAACUGCACUUGAUACUGUAGUGCUUGAGGACUGGAGAGGAGAUCGGAAUUCAUGGUGUAGCAGUGAAAUGCGUAGAGAUCAUGAGGAAGACCAGUGGCGAAGGCGGGUCUCUGGACAGUUCCUGACACUGAGACACGAAGGCCAGGGGAGCAAACGGG
RNAcentral lists this ribosomal RNA (253 nucleotides) under uncultured bacterium. RNAcentral's name for it is "partial 16S ribosomal RNA". It matches the Rfam family "Bacterial small subunit ribosomal RNA", at positions 524 to 776 of the family's 1533-position model. The record is from RNAcentral.